RNAcentral lists this ribosomal RNA (456 nucleotides) under Austroholorchis sprenti. RNAcentral's name for it is "partial 16S ribosomal RNA". It matches the Rfam family "Bacterial large subunit ribosomal RNA", at positions 1801 to 2606 of the family's 2925-position model. The record is from RNAcentral. Lineage: Eukaryota; Metazoa; Platyhelminthes; Trematoda; Plagiorchiida; Lepocreadiidae.
UGUUUAUUAACAACAUUUCCACUCGUUUAAUUUUGAGUGGUAGUGCCUGCCCGAUGUUUAUAUCAAUGGCCGCAGUAUCUUGACUGUGCUAAGGUAGCAUAAUUAAUUGCCUCAUAAUUGGAGGAUUGUUUGAAAGGUUUGACUAGGUAGAGUUUCAUAGAUGGGGGUUUAUUAUGAAAUUAAAGUGCCUAUGCAGAUUUUGGCUAUCUUUAAUAAGACGGAAAGACCCCGAGAGCUUUAUACUUUGUGUUUACUUGGGGCAAGGGCAUGUUUUUCACAUGUUUUUAGAUCCUUUGGGGAUUGUAGGAUUAAGUUACCUCGGGGAUAACUAGGUAAGAGAUGAGGAGAGAUCAUAUCGGUUCAUCUAAUUGCCAUCUCGAUGUUGACUUGGGGUUGUUGGUACAGGUGCAGGAGCUUGUAUAAUAGGUCUGUUCGACCCGGUGCCCUUCAUGAUCU